UUUUUUUUUUUUUUUGAGUUGUAUGAAAAGUUAGCAAUUGCCCAGUUCUUGGAUUUUGAACCUGGGAACCUUGGAUUGAAGUUGGAGAUCCCCCUAAACUCCUUGAAAUUGUAUGCAGAAAUAGUGGGAGUGUGAAUUUUUGGGGAAUGAGGAUCCAUCACCAGCAAGUUUUUUUUUUUUUUUUUUUUGCCAGCAAGUUUUCAAAGGGGGCUGUGACCCAGAAGAGUUAAGAACUAUGAUUCUUUUACUAAGAUGGCCAAAAUGCUUCUUUGAUAAUUGUCACCUGCUUUUCUCAAAUUCCAUACCAUUGUCCAGCAAACACUAUAGAAAUGUUUGAACAGUUGGAUUUCAAACACUUUCAUUUUUUGGGGUGGUGCUUACCAAUGGUUCAGCUCUAAGCAAGUGAACAUAAACACAUGUAAGUGUAUUUUGCCUGGUUAGGAGUUUAUCUGUUUUGCUAUUCCAUACAAAUGUCUGAGAGGCAACAGAGUCCGAUGAAAGCAAAUUGUUUGGAAACCAUGCCUUUCUCCUUGGCUUUGCUAUGCCGUAAUCCCUUGUUUUCCAUACUUGGAAUCCUACUUCCAUCCAUAUUGUUGGACUAUCUGACGUGAAGCUACGAGAGCUAUGGCCUAGCCCCCUUUCCGCAGGCCGAUUGCCCCCUGCAGACUGAUCUGUGGAGUGCAGGGCUCCUGGGGCCGGGUAUAUGGGAGCACGUAAGCACUUGGCAGUCCGUUUGCCCCGACCCCAUGUUCCCUGUGGCAGCGGAACCCACAGGCUUCAGGAAGAGCAGUUGCACUUGCUGGCUUUGCUGAUGCAAACGACCCUUCUUUCGUGUAUCUGGUAUCCCCAUUCCGUUCCUGUACAUGACAUGCCUCUUCUGAAUUUGGUGUCCUGGCCUCUUUAGCAGCCUGCUCCCUUUGUGCUGGCCUGAUCAAGGCAUUUCUGAUGUCCUUCUUCAAAAAGUGGAACGUUGAAGCCAAAUCUCGUGCAGUUUGAAUGUUGAGAUUCCCAAAAGGAAGCGAUGCAGAGAGUAGUUUUCUCCAACUUCGGCUCUCAAGGCCUCCUGGGAGAGCUUCUCACAGAACCACGUUGCCUCCAGCCGUUCCUCCGUGCUUCUGAUUAGCUUCAGAGCCUGGGCAAGGUAUGAACGUGUGACCAUCUUGCAAGAAGGGAACCGAGGAUCGCAAACACCUAAUUUUCUUCAGGCCACACCGCCAGUUGGCGGCAGGGCUGGGCAUGGCUCGGCAGGGGUACGCCACGCUCCCUGAGGUCUCCUAGAAUGAUGAGGAAGACUCACGUCGCCUACUGUGGUGCCCCCAAGUACAGGAUGGCCGAAGGCCCUGUGGAUUGCCUGUGACACGUUUCUCUUCGGGGGCCAGGUGUACAACUAGGCCCGGUGCCGCGGUGCUGGCAACUGAGGGUCUGAAAGGACUUUGCUUAGGCCACAGGAUAAAGAAGUGUCAGACGUCUGAGUGGAACCUGGAGAGCUGGGACCCAGAACCCAAGCUCCUGGGCGGGAUGGAGUGGAGGUUUCCCAGCACGCAGAGGUGCUGCCUGGUCCGUGUCCUCCCAGGCGGAGCGGCGUCUUGUCCGAGGUCACUCUGAGGCCACAGCAGUGCACUGCUUUGUUGUCUCCUCUCAGAAAGGACGUGACGGACCCGGAGGUUGCGGGCAGGUAGAGGCCUCGUUAUUGAAGGUGUCGUGGGUCAGUCGUAUGCCCAGAAGCCAGCUUCUGAAUGAAUGUUGAAAGCAGCAGCUCCUCCACGUUGGCAUCUGGCCUGAGACUGCCACGGCUGAAAGCAGAAGUUGGGGACUUGCACGCUCCCCUCCUGUGAAGUGAGGGGACAUACGGUCUUGCCAGAGGACGUGGCCACAAGCGGUGCUGCAGCCAUUGGCCCUUUGCUCAACGAGGUGAUGUCGAUGGGCUGAGGUGCAGCAAGCUGGGGCAGAGAGCCUGUGCCGGCCAUUGCCGGCCUCCCAGGGGGUUUUGCCAAGCUCAGGAGGCAAGGGGACGGGACAGUGUUUCCCUUUGCCUUGGGCCGCUUGCCAGGAGCUUCAGGGCCUCUGCCGGCCCGCAGGGCCAGCCCAGCAGUAAACUCAUCGCAGACGCAGUGCGUGAGUGGUCUUCAAACCUCUGCAAGAGGAGAGGCUCUCUGGGAAGGCCAGCCUGGUGUCCCAAGAUGGCUGUGUUCGGACGCCUGCUGCCAGGCAGGCACUGCAGAGAGGCUCCGUUACCACCGCCAGCACCCCGCCCCCCUUCCGGAGGAAGCCGCGGGAACUCAGAGCUGUGGGGCUUUGUCCUUGCUGCACCUUCUUGGCUGCUCCAGAGGCUCGCGCGUUUGCCUGGCCAAAGGGUGCUCUUUGGUCACAGCAUCCCGAGGGUGGAUUCCUUGCUCCUGACCGGACCUGUGGACAUGGCUGUGCUUCCAGGGGAGUCCCAUGGAGUCACUCGGCACCUCGUUCUAUCGAGAUUGAUACGUGGACGACGUGUGCGGCAUGGCUCGUACCCAGCUCCACUGUGGCCGCUUGAAGCCUUAAGUACACAGCGAGGGCCUGCUCUCCUUGAUCUCGAGGUUCACGAUCUUUUGCAGCACGUUCUUGGAAUCCGAAUUCCAUUUUAGUAAUUGGCGUGCUGUCCUUGGAUUUGGUGCCUCAGACUCUUUUGCUUUCCUGUGUGUGGAAUCCUAAUUCCAUUGAUAUUGUUGAAAUCUCUCAUGAGCCCCGCUCCCUGCCCUCUUCGUACUCAGGCUUUUUCCUGGCCCCAGCCUGAUCUGUGGCCCGUUCUAGUGCCCCUGCAGAUUCGCGAGGGUCCUGCUGACCAGCCAUCCCACCAGGGAUAAUGUAAGAAGACGAGUGUACCUACGUUCAGGACAUGUCUUCUUAUCCCCAGGUUCGCUGUGGCUGAUGAAACCAAGGUACUGGGAAAGCUCAUACGGUCUCCUUGGCUUUGGUGCUCCAGAGUCCUUUGUUUUCUUCUGUUUGAAAAACUAAUUCCAUUGAUAUUGUUGAGCUGAAACUAUUGUUGCAACAAAGGCCCAAUUUUUUCCUCCAGUGUGCAUUUCAUUUCUUCAGUUAAGGCCUUCAGAGACAUGGUAAAUUUGGACCAGGGGAUUUUUAGUUACCAACACUGAAGAAACCCUAAGGUUUAAGAACAGACUCUCCAUAACCCAUGAGCAGGUGUGGCCUAAGCUGAGGGCCCUCUAUGAGACUGGGCCACUCCCGGACCCCCAUCGAUAUCGGCCAGGUGACUGGGUAUACGGGCAGAGAUACCAACACUGGACACUUCAACCUCGCUGGAAGGGACCCUACAUCGUGAUCCUGAACCACUCCCACCGCUCUCAAGGUUUACGGGGAUUACUCCCUGGGUCCACUACACCCACGUCCAGCCAGCUGACCCACACGCCAUUCUCAAGGACUUUGUUCCAGAAUGGAAAAGCCAACUGGACAAGGACAAUCCCCUAAAAGCUAAGACUGCGCCGUUCUCACUUAUUUCCCACCUCCAAGACUCCCUAGUCUGAGGUUGUCCUUCAAAAUAGAAGGGGAUUAGACUUAGUCUUCUUACAACAAAGGGUGGGGGUGGAGGGGUUAUGUGCUGCCUUAAGCGUAGGAUGUUGCUUUUUUGCUGGAAUGUAAAUGAGAGCGAGAAAAGCAACAAAGUUGGUUACAAUCCUGGUUUAAUCAUUCCCCCUGGCUCACUCUGAGAGCAACCUGGACCCAUGAUUGGGUCCUGCAUAGGAUCCUCUGAAAAAGGGGGGAAUGUGGGGCCCAGGAAAUUUAACAAAAAUCCCCUACCCCUGGACAAGCAGAGACCAUGCCCAGGGCAUACCCUAAUCGGAAAUCCGCUCAGUGAUAGGCCAGUUCAAAUGGAUACUUUAGGGUAAAAUGUAAUUCAAUCGGCCACCUGCUUGUGGACCCACAUGACUGUGCAACUUUCUGCGUAUCCCAUUGGCCACUGGUCCCCAUAAAGCUGCUAUGCCUUUUGGUCUCAGGGUCCAA
This 3996-nucleotide long non-coding RNA is filed under the name Canis lupus familiaris (dog). Its description in RNAcentral is "lncRNA (ENSCAFG00000050872.1)". The stretch from base 266 to 409 matches the Rfam family "Taurine upregulated gene 1 conserved region 1". Lineage: Eukaryota; Metazoa; Chordata; Mammalia; Carnivora; Canidae. The record is from RNAcentral.